Molecule: ribosomal RNA, 274 nt
Filed under: uncultured bacterium
Lineage: Bacteria
Description: partial 16S ribosomal RNA
Rfam family: Bacterial small subunit ribosomal RNA
Source: RNAcentral
AUACGGAGGGUGCAAGCGUUAAUCGGAUUUACUGGGCGUAAAGCGUGCGUAGGCGGUUUAUUAAGUCAGAUGUGAAAGCCCCGGGCUCAACCUGGGAACUGCAUUUGAAACUGGUGAACUAGAGUUUGGUAGAGGGUAGUGGAAUUCCAGGUGUAGCGGUGAAAUGCGUAGAGAUCUGGAGGAACACCAGUGGCGAAGGCGGCUACCUGGACCAAAACUGACGCUGAGGUACGAAAGCGUGGGGAGCAAACAGGAUUAGAUACCCGCGUAGUCC